This is a long non-coding RNA of Pseudophryne corroboree (corroboree frog), 2396 nucleotides long. RefSeq lists it as uncharacterized. Lineage: Eukaryota; Metazoa; Chordata; Amphibia; Anura; Myobatrachidae. The record is from RefSeq and is a predicted model, not a curated record. The transcript is spliced from 8 exons.
CCAACUGCCGCUGCCCGCCGCCCGCACCCGCCGCACCCCUUCUGCUGAGCUUCAGCCUGCCCUGCACUGUCGGUCAGAUGCGGCGCAGCGUGACAUCAUGAAGAAGAGCCUAAGACUGAAGAGAUAGGAGUCAGGACAGCCAGGAACAGCGUGGGCGAGAGAGCAGAGAGGAGGACUCAGUCAGGACAGAUUUGGAAAGGGAAAAGCUGUCUGGUUAUAAUAAAGCUGUUUUAUGUGAUAAGAUUGUGGUUGCUGCAUCUGGAGAGAUGGAACAUUUCCACUGAACCAAGCAUUCAAUCAGCAAUGACAGUAGCUUUUAUCUGUCUAGUGCACGUUACGCAUUGAAAAUAACAUGGGCAAUUAAAAGAAUAUGCCCCAACAUGUAUCAUGCUACUUUUGGUCAUGUACAGGUCUACUGGUCAAGAAAAGAAGAGAAAGAGAGUUACUCAGAAACUAUGACUAUUAGAAAUCGCUGACAUUCCUGUGACCAUCCCAUUCAGCAAAACACAGGAGACCAUAAUAACACUCGGCAGGACCUGCUAGCACUUGGUGGAAAUACAUCAGAUGAUGGAACACACUGAACUGUGAAGCUAAACUCUGGAUUCUGUAGACUGGAACUUAGCAGGCAGUAUACAGCAGAAGUUGUUCUGGCAAUGAGUAGUGGCCAUGGAGAGACAUGUAGAGUAAUCUCUGGCUGGUGGAGCUUGAACUGGAUUUAGACUAUGCUAGAAUCUCUAAUUAAACUAGUUCCCCAAACACUGCAACUCAGGACCACUAUGUGGCCUCUCCUCAUCUCUGCCAUGAUAACACCAGGACCAAUGCCUACUACUCUUCUGUCCAAGAAUAUCAUGACUGCCCGAGGGACUACCCCUCAAGCUGAGCAGGGAACUGAGGGGUGUGCACACCAGGACCAGACUUUGCUGGGUCAUUGCCAUUGGACAUUAGUGUGCUCCCCACAUACUUACACCCUCCCGCACUGCUCUAGUACAGUUUUCCUGCAAUGUGUUUUUCUCUUCUCUUUCUUCUUACAGCGUACUUCCACCCCACUGUGUGCUAUUUCUGUAAUGUUUACCUCCAUUGGUUGCACACCCUGUCAGCAGUAACCUACACAGUGCGCCCCACAUGGCUGCCUUGGAUGGUUCCUCCGUGGGCAACAUGUGCUUCAUUUGGAUCUUUCCAUGCAGGGUAUAGCAUACUCCUACACACGUAUCAGUUUUCCCAAACUUGCAUUUGGCCCUUAUAUGGCUCAUCUUCCACUGUGUAACCUUCGUAGUGUGCCCAACAUGGCUUCCUUAUCUAUUGCGCUUGUGGAUGGGAUGAAAAAUACAUGGAACUGAUGGUUUUGUUGGAACCCUACUCUGAACUUUAGGACUCUGCAAUCUCCCCAUUUUAUGAUAUCUCUUCUAGGGGUGGACUAUUCCACCCUGGAUAAUCCUAUGCAGUGCGCCUAAGAUGGCUGCCGCACCUGGUACCUUGUGAGGGUGGAAUACACAACCCUUGGAGGUUAUUACCCAAAGUGCCUACACCAAUCAUGCAUUAUGCUUUCUGUGUGCUCAAGGUUUUUUUUUUAUGUCUGUGUUGUUUAUCUUUUGAUGUAUUACUUAAAUCUUCUGUAUAAUGUGCAUUAUUUGAGUUCAAGUUGGUGCCGCAGAUGGCUGCCUCAGUGCUGCUCUGCCAAUCAGCCUUCGUUUUUAGUCUUACAUGCAUAAUAUGUCUAAUAUGUCUAGUCUAUCGUACAGUUGCAAUGGGCAGUAUGAACUCAUACGUGUAAUGUUUGUAAUGUAUGCUACGUUUUCCCCCCUUCUUAUGCUAUGUAUUCCCCCUUCAUGUUGCUGCUUGGCAAUACAUUGCACCACAAAAAACUCCUAGGGUACAUGAGUACACCUGGCCAAUAAAGCUGAUUCUGAUUCUGCUGAUAGGUCACUGUAAUUAUGUGCAGGGUAUCAGAUCGAGGAAGAGAGGUCAGCUGACCUCAGGCAUUAUGGCGAUGCCAAGAAAGAAACAAACAACUACUGGCAGCAGCACAACAUGGGACACAUCCAGACACCUUGGGAAGCAGGUGCAAGGCAAGGAAGCAGCAGUGCCAGGUUGCCUACGUUUCACAGGUUACUGCAGUACAUCAUCUACGUAAGGCAAGGUGGGAAAACACUGUAAAGUCAGAAUAAAAAGGUGCUUCUCCUUGUUGGUGAUAUGAGGGUAUUAUAUUAAAAUGCUAAUGCUGAAUGUGAUGUAUAGACCAAUUAUACAUCAAUUAUUAUUCUUCUAUAAUGCAUGAUCUACAAAAACCUUUUCUGUUCUUGUUCAGUAAUUAAUUAAGCUUUCAGAAUUUGGGUGUUCUGGAAAUAACCACACAAAGCCACUAUUUACUCUUGUAUACCAAUGCAGGAUCUGUGGAG